AGCGGCGGACGGGUGAGUAACGCGUGGGUAACCUGCCUCAUACAGGGGGAUAACAGUUGGAAACGGCUGCUAAUACCGCAUAAGCGCACAGUACCGCAUGGUACCGUGUGAAAAACUCCGGUGGUAUGAGAUGGACCCGCGUCUGAUUAGCUAGUUGGUAAGGUAACGGCUUACCAAGGCGACGAUCAGUAGCCGACCUGAGAGGGUGACCGGCCACAUUGGGACUGAGACACGGCCCAA
RNAcentral lists this ribosomal RNA (240 nucleotides) under uncultured bacterium. RNAcentral describes it as "partial 16S ribosomal RNA". It matches the Rfam family "Bacterial small subunit ribosomal RNA", at positions 94 to 334 of the family's 1533-position model. The record is from RNAcentral.